UCCCUGGUGAUCCAGCGGUUAAGACUCUACACUUUAAAUGCAGGGACCUCAGGUUCAAUCCCUGGUUGUGGAA
RNAcentral lists this transfer RNA (73 nucleotides) under Bos taurus (domestic cattle). It matches the Rfam family "tRNA". Rfam says of the family: Transfer RNA (tRNA) molecules are approximately 80 nucleotides in length. RNAcentral also lists the same sequence under 1 other name. Lineage: Eukaryota; Metazoa; Chordata; Mammalia; Artiodactyla; Bovidae. The record is from Rfam by way of RNAcentral.